GUGAAAUAGUGAAGAAGUCAUUUUGAGUUUCUAUGUUAACAUUCUCUUUAGAAACCUAGACUAGAAGAAAUGCUGAAAGAAAAAAAGAGACAGUGAGGGAGAGAAGAAAAAUGAAGAAGCUAUGACGCAAUGACGACGAGCUCAAGCCUCAACCUCCGGCAAUGUCUCACCGGUGAAUGAAGGUUUAAUAGUGGCGUAGCAAAAAAUUUCUAGAAACCCAUUUCAAUUUGUACUGGUCUGAAAUGAAGUUACCGACGAAAAGCACUAGAAUCCACUGAAAUAGUCGAUACAGGCCGAAACACCACGGUAUUUAGGACGGUACGAAUCAGCCUAGUUUGUGUACCGGUCCAACCACCAGCACGAAAAAUUUCGGCCGUACUAGCCGGUACGCUAUGAAAUUAACUCCCUUGGUUGGUUGUUGCGUGUGUGAAGUGUGAAGUGUUUGAGGCCCGAUCUAAUUUCAGUAUACUAGGAAAUAUGUUUGAGGGGAAGGAGUUGGGAAAUGGUCUCGUUGAAGAAGAGAGGGAACUUUCUAAGUCUUCAACUAAUAAGGUACUUAGUUAUAUACUGAGACAGCUUCUCCCUUUUACUUUCUAAGGACUACAAUGGAACUUUCUCUAUAUGUUUGAAGGGUUUAAAUGGUGUAUACUGUUCUUGAAAAGGUGAAGUGAUUUCUGUUUAUAGUUGUCAAGCUUUUUAAUUAGCUUUUCUGCCUACUUUCUAAACUGCUGCAACAUUUAGAUGUGUUGUACUCAACGGUAGAAAUUCCUUUCUUGUCUUUCUGCCCUUGGUUGUAAGCUAAUGAGUAUAGCUUAUUCUAUAUUAGUAAUGAUGCUAGUUAUGUCUACAGAGAGAGAAAUCAGCAAACCUUAGGUA
Quercus lobata is the source of this 876-nucleotide long non-coding RNA. RefSeq lists it as uncharacterized. NCBI's taxonomy places the organism in Eukaryota, Viridiplantae, Streptophyta, Magnoliopsida, Fagales, Fagaceae. The record is from RefSeq and is a predicted model, not a curated record. The transcript is spliced from 2 exons.